GACGAACGCUGGCGGCGUGCCUAAUACAUGCAAGUAGAACGCUGAAGCUUGGUGCUUGCACCGAGCGGAUGAGUUGCGAACGGGUGAGUAACGCGUAGGUAACCUGCCUGGUAGCGGGGGAUAACUAUUGGAAACGAUAGCUAAUACCGCAUAAGAGUAGAUGUUGCAUGACAUUUGCUUAAAAGGUGCAAUUGCAUCACUACCAGAUGGACCUGCGUUGUAUUAGCUAGUUGGUGAGGUAACGGCUCACCAAGGCAACGAUACAUAGCCGACCUGAGAGGGUGAUCGGCCACACUGGGACUGAGACACGGCCCAGACUCCUACGGGAGGCAGCAGUAGGGAAUCUUCGGCAAUGGACGGAAGUCUGACCGAGCAACGCCGCGUGAGUGAAGAAGGUUGUCGGAUCGUAAAGCUCUGUUGUAAGAGAAGAACGAGGGUGAGAGUGGAAAGUUCACACUGUGACGGUAUCUGACCAGAAAGGGACGGCUAACUACGUG
This 497-nucleotide ribosomal RNA is filed under the name uncultured bacterium. RNAcentral describes it as "partial 16S ribosomal RNA". It matches the Rfam family "Bacterial small subunit ribosomal RNA", at positions 28 to 507 of the family's 1533-position model. The record is from RNAcentral.